AAUGGUUUGGAAGUACAGACCUACUUUAUGAAAAGCAAGUUAAAGCAGUUCACCAUUUAGCGCUAUCCACGAUACCACUUCAUUGCGAAUUCCUUCUAAUUAGUACCCAUAAGUAAAACUGAAAAACAGACCUAAUAUGCCUUAUGGCGACUUAAAUAAAAUUAAAGGAAAAUUCUAUGUCUAAUGCAAUGACUGGUUCAGUAAAAUGGUUUAAUAACGAUAAAGGUUUUGGCUUUAUUUCUCCGAAAGAUGGCAGCAAAGACGUUUUUGUUCAUUAUUCUGCAAUUCAGAGCAAUAAUUUCAAAACGCUGGAAGAAGGACAAGAAGUUUCAUUCUCUAUUGAGAAUGGUGCUAAAGGUCCAUCAGCGGUAAAUGUUAUCGUAUUAUCUUGAUUUGACUUAACUGCUUAAAUCCAUUAGCGGCUUUACG
This 429-nucleotide small RNA is filed under the name Photorhabdus khanii NC19. RNAcentral describes it as "cspA thermoregulator". It matches the Rfam family "cspA thermoregulator". The record is from RNAcentral. Lineage: Bacteria; Pseudomonadati; Pseudomonadota; Gammaproteobacteria; Enterobacterales; Morganellaceae.